AACGAACGCUGGCGGCAUGCCUAACACAUGCAAGUCGAACGAGAUCUUCGGGUCUAGUGGCGCACGGGUGCGUAACGCGUGGGAAUCUGCCCUUUGGUUCGGAAUAACAGGUGGAAACGACUGCUAAUACCGGAUGAUGACGAAAGUCCAAAGAUUUAUCGCCAGAGGAUGAGCCCGCGUAGGAUUAGCUAGUUGGUGGGGUAAAGGCGCACCAAGGCGACGAUCCUUAGCUGGUCUGAGAGGAUGAUCAGCCACACGGGGACUGAGACACGGGCCAGGCUCCUACGGGCGGCAGCAGUGGGGAAUAUUGGACAAUGGGAGUGAGCCUGAUCCAGCAAUGCCGCGUGAGUGAUGAAGGCCUUAGGGUUGUAAAGCUCUUUUACCCGGGAUGAUAAUGACAGUACCGGGAGAAUAAGCUCCGGCUAACUCCGUGCCAGCCGCCGCAGUAA
RNAcentral lists this ribosomal RNA (449 nucleotides) under uncultured bacterium. RNAcentral describes it as "partial 16S ribosomal RNA". It matches the Rfam family "Bacterial small subunit ribosomal RNA", at positions 29 to 523 of the family's 1533-position model. The record is from RNAcentral.